UUAUUGUUAGCUGUUUGUCGACUUACACAUGCAAGUCUCAGCAUCCCUGUGAGAACGCCCUUUCACCUCUAUCAGGAUAAGGAGCUGGUAUCAGGCACAGACUAUCUUGCCCACAACACCUAGCUCUGCCACACCCUCAAGGGUACUCAGCAGUGAUUAACAUUGUUUAUGAGCGCCAGCUCGACUCAGUCAGACAAAGUAUAGAGCCGGCUAAUCCGGUGCCAGCCGCCGCGGCUACACCAUUAGGCUCAAGUUUACAAUUAUUCGGCGUUAAGCGUGUUUUAAGUACCCUAAACUAUUAGAAUUAAAAUUUAACCAAGUUGUGACACACUUGUUCAUAAGAAAAACAUAAACGAAAGUUAUUCUAACCAAACCACUUGAAUCCACGACAGCUAGGACACAAACUGGGAUUAGGUACCCCACUAUGCCUAGCCGUAAAAUAUUAACCUACACCUUCCUUCGCCAGGGAAUUACGAGCCCAAGCUUAAAACCCAAAGGACUUGACGGUGUCCCACCCAUCUAGAGGAGCCUGUUCUAUAAUCGAUUCUCCCCGAUUCACCUCACCACUUCUAGCCUCUCAGCCUGUAUACCUCCGUCGUAAGCUUACCAUGUGAACGCACCAUAGUGAGCCCAAAGAUUUCCCAUAAAUACGUCAGGUCAAGGUGCAGCCCACGAUGUGGAAAGUAAUGGGCUACAAUUUCUAUCAUUAGAACAAACGAAAGACUACAUGCAAUUCAGUCAUGAAGGCGGAUUUAGUAGUAAAAAGAAAAUAGAGAGUUCUUUUUAACUAGGCACUGGGACGCGUACACACCGCCCGUCACCCUCUUCGAAUGUAACUUCCCACGGUUUUUAACAAUUCCAUACCCCACAGAAGAGGUAAGUCGUAACACGGUAAGCGUACUGGAAAGUGCGCUUGGAUUAACAAA
Molecule: non-coding RNA, 926 nt
Filed under: Microhyla pulchella
Lineage: Eukaryota; Metazoa; Chordata; Amphibia; Anura; Microhylidae
Description: partial small subunit ribosomal RNA
Rfam family: Bacterial small subunit ribosomal RNA
Source: RNAcentral